GACGUAGGGCGCGAGCGUUGUUCGGAUUUACUGGGCGUAAAGGGCGCGUAGGCGGCCACCGCAAGUCGACUGUGAAAUCUCCGGGCUUAACCCGGAAAGGUCAGCCGAUACUGCGGGGCUAGAGUGCAGAAGGGGCAACUGGAAUUCUCGGUGUAGCGGUGAAAUGCGUAGAUAUCGAGAGGAACACCUGCGGCGAAGGCGGGUUGCUGGGCUGACACUGACGCUGAGGCGCGAAAGCGUGGGGAGCGAACAGG
RNAcentral lists this ribosomal RNA (254 nucleotides) under uncultured bacterium. Its description in RNAcentral is "partial 16S ribosomal RNA". It matches the Rfam family "Bacterial small subunit ribosomal RNA", at positions 524 to 776 of the family's 1533-position model. The record is from RNAcentral.